Triticum urartu is the source of this 239-nucleotide non-coding RNA. The record is from RefSeq and is a predicted model, not a curated record. Lineage: Eukaryota; Viridiplantae; Streptophyta; Magnoliopsida; Poales; Poaceae.
AUGUUUUUGACUCGGUCAAGAACGCCACCGAUGUUAAUUUGCUCCAUAAGGCAACCAACAAUGUGAUUGCCAACAUAAAGGAAGUUGCAAGCAAAGAAUCUUCAUUUCAUUUUGAUCUUGAUUGCUUUGAGAAGGUCACCCCAGAUCACCCGAAGCAAUUAACGCAUUAUAAUUGUGGCUUCUAUGCAAUUCUUUUCUUGGAAAACUUCGAUGGUGUUGUCAUGAAGCAUUUCAAUGAG